Long non-coding RNA from Syngnathoides biaculeatus (alligator pipefish), 465 nucleotides. RefSeq lists it as uncharacterized. The transcript is spliced from 3 exons. The record is from RefSeq and is a predicted model, not a curated record. Lineage: Eukaryota; Metazoa; Chordata; Actinopteri; Syngnathiformes; Syngnathidae.
CUUGGCCACGUUUCCUCUCUGCGUGAUGUUCUUGCUGUGUUUCUCGUUCGCCAUUCGGAUCCUCUGUUUGGCCACCAUCUUCCCAAACGUCUGGAAAGCGCCACUCUGGACAAACCAGCCGCACAAGCCGUCCAUCCAGCACCUCUCCCCUGCAAGUUUGCCCUCACAUUCACAGCCAUCAUAGUUCAUCGUACAUAGACACGCGUAUAUGGUGGCACGGUGGACAUCUGGCUCACAGUUGAGGACCCGGGGUUCAAAUCCGGGCCCCACCUGUGUGGACUUUUCAUGUUCUCCCCGGGUCUUUGUGCGCCCCUCCCGGGCACUCCAGUUUCCUCCCACAUCCCAAAAACAUCCAUUAAUUGGAGACUCUAAAUUGCCCGUAGGUGUGAGCGUGAACGGUUGUUUGUUAUCUUCCCUUCCGACUGACAACCAGUUCAGGGUGUACCCCGCUUCCUGCCCGAAGAU